CCCAUGGAUGAAAAGGAUCUAGUUGCUUAUAUUUUAAAUGGAUUAGAUGAAGAUUUUGAACCCAUUGUUUCUGUUGUUGUGGCUCGGAAUGAUUCAGUCACAAUGGCGGAAGUGUAUUCUCAACUUCUUAACUUUGAGA
This 139-nucleotide small nucleolar RNA is filed under the name Oryza punctata. RNAcentral's name for it is "Small nucleolar RNA Z247". It matches the Rfam family "Small nucleolar RNA Z247". From Rfam's summary of the family: Z247 is a member of the C/D class of snoRNA which contain the C (UGAUGA) and D (CUGA) box motifs. The record is from Rfam by way of RNAcentral. Lineage: Eukaryota; Viridiplantae; Streptophyta; Magnoliopsida; Poales; Poaceae.